AUUGAACGCUGGCGGCAUGCUUUACACAUGCAAGUCGAACGGCAGCGCGGGCUUCGGCCUGGCGGCGAGUGGCGAACGGGUGAGUAAUACAUCGGAACGUGCCCAGUAGUGGGGGAUAGCUCGGCGAAAGCCGGAUUAAUACCGCAUACGACCUGAGGGUGAAAGCGGGGGAUCUUCGGACCUCGCGCUAUUGGAGCGGCCGAUGGCAGAUUAGCUAGUUGGUGGGGUAAAGGCCUACCAAGGCGACGAUCUGUAGCUGGUCUGAGUGGACGACCAGCCACACUGGGACUGAGACACGGCCCAGACUCCUACGGGAGGCAGCAGUGGGGAAUUUUGGACAAUGGGCGAAAGCCUGAUCCAGCAAUGCCGCGUGUGUGAUGAAGGCCUUCGGGUUGUAAAGCACUUUUGGCGGGAACGAAAAGGACUGUGCCAAUACCACGGUUCGAUGACGGUACCCGCAGAAUAAGCACCGGCUAACUACGUG
RNAcentral lists this ribosomal RNA (484 nucleotides) under uncultured bacterium. Its description in RNAcentral is "partial 16S ribosomal RNA". It matches the Rfam family "Bacterial small subunit ribosomal RNA", at positions 29 to 507 of the family's 1533-position model. The record is from RNAcentral.